CCUACGGGAGGCAGCAGUGAGGAAUAUUGGUCAAUGGGCGCGAGCCUGAACCAGCCAAGUAGCGUGAAGGAUGACUGCCCUACGGGUUGUAAACUUCUUUUAUACAGGAAUAAAGUGAGGCACGUGUGCCUUUUUGUAUGUACUUUAUGAAUAAGGAUCUGCUAACUCCGUGCCAGCAGCCGCAGUAAUACGUAGGAUCCGAGCGUUAUCCGGAUUUAUUGGGUUUAAAGGGAGCGUAGAUGGGUUGUUAAGUCAGUUGUGAAAGUUUGCGGCUCAACCGUAAAAUUGCAAUUGAUAAUGGCAGACUUGAGUACAGUUGAGGGAGGCGGAAUUCGUGGUGUAGCGGUGAAAUGCUUAGAUAUCACGAAGAACGCCGAUUGCGAAGGCAGCUUACUAAACUGCCACUGACAUUGAUGCUCGAAAGUGUGGGUAUCAAACAGGAUUAGAUACCCUGGUAGUC
RNAcentral lists this ribosomal RNA (460 nucleotides) under uncultured bacterium. RNAcentral describes it as "partial 16S ribosomal RNA". It matches the Rfam family "Bacterial small subunit ribosomal RNA", at positions 338 to 795 of the family's 1533-position model. The record is from RNAcentral.